This 47-nucleotide transfer RNA is filed under the name Tetraselmis astigmatica. RNAcentral describes it as "partial tRNA". The record is from RNAcentral. Lineage: Eukaryota; Viridiplantae; Chlorophyta; Chlorodendrophyceae; Chlorodendrales; Chlorodendraceae.
GACAAAAGCGUCGGUCUUAAGUGCCAUCAGUGGGGGGUUCGAAUCCG